This 75-nucleotide transfer RNA is filed under the name Minisyncoccota bacterium. RNAcentral's name for it is "tRNA-Thr". It matches the Rfam family "tRNA". From Rfam's summary of the family: Transfer RNA (tRNA) molecules are approximately 80 nucleotides in length. Lineage: Bacteria; Bacillati; Minisyncoccota. The record is from RNAcentral.
GCCGACGUAGCUGAGUGGUGUAGCAAGGUCUUUGUAAGGCCUAGACGGAAGUUCGAUUCUUUCCCGUCGGCACCA